GACCAGACUCCUACGGGAGGCAGCAGUGGGGAAUAUUGCACAAUGGGGGAAACCCUGAUGCAGCGACGCCGCGUGAGCGAUGAAGUAUUUCGGUAUGUAAAGCUCUAUCAGCAGGGAAGAAGAUGACGGUACCUGACUAAGAAGCCCCGGCUAACUACGUGCCAGCAGCCGCGGUAAUACGUAGGGGGCAAGCGUUAUCCGGAUUUACUGGGUGUAAAGGGAGCGUAGACGGCGAUGCAAGCCAGAUGUGAAAGCCCGGGGCUCAACCCCGGGACUGCAUUUGGAACUGUGUGGCUGGAGUGUCGGAGAGGCAGGCGGAAUUCCUAGUGUAGCGGUGAAAUGCGUAGAUAUUAGGAGGAACACCAGUGGCGAAGGCGGCCUGCUGGACGAUGACUGACGUUGAGGCUCGAAAGCGUGGGGAGCAAACAGGAUUAGAUACCCGAGUAUUA
Molecule: ribosomal RNA, 449 nt
Filed under: uncultured bacterium
Lineage: Bacteria
Description: partial 16S ribosomal RNA
Rfam family: Bacterial small subunit ribosomal RNA
Source: RNAcentral